CCACCCCCACCCCCUUCUCUUUCUCUCCAAAUAAACAUGUGCUCAUGUAAACCCUCAUUUUUCAGAAAUCAUAUUUGUGAAAACUGUAAAUCAAACUCAAUUUGUUCACUCACGGAUCAUUUGGGGAAGAAAAUUACAAAAGACAGGAUUCUCAUCCUUUCGUAUCCAAGAUUACAUGCAUGGAUCUAGAGGUUUUUUCAAGCUUUAGGGAAGUGUCAUGAUUUCAUUACCUUGUUGGAUGGUCUAAUAAUCAGGUAAAUAUGUCCACCCUUUCCAUAAUAUGAUUGAAAAAACUAGAGUAGAGGAGGAGAGGGGAUGAAGAAGGUGUUUAAAGUAGAAGUGUGGAGUUUUAAAUAUUUUCUAACUCUAAUUAAUAUUUCUUUUACAGUGGAUGAAAUAGCUAAUGCUUUGAUUCAUGUACUAACUAUUAAAAUAUUAGCAGAACAUUUCUAUCAUUGUUGUAUGCCUAGAUCUUUUUGAUAUUCUUAUGUCUUCACCACAUGCAUCGCUAUAUAUGAGAAAGGAAUUUGUGUACAUAACAAAUAUGUAGCCACGAAAGUUAUUUGUUGCCACAGAGGAAAUUCCAGGAAGCUUAGUUUAGUUGUAUAAAUAUAUAGCCAUGAAAGAGGAACUGUCUUCAUAAAUUUAGGUCGUAUCCUUGAUUGACUUGAAAUUCAUUUUCUGGAAUGUAGAUUAGUUCAACGAGCAGGGUCUAAAAUUCAUCCUUUAAUGCUGGAGUAUUGACUAUGUAUAUAUUGUGUAGUUCUUCACCUUUCUAGUUUUGUGUUUGUUAUCCUGCGAUUUCUUAGCAACUGCUGCUCAAGAUGGUGUUAAACUUUGGGACUUGUGCAAAUUGAAGAACUUUAGAACUUUCACUUCUUACGAUGAGAAUACACAAACUCAAUCAGGUAUACAUUAACUGCACUCUAUUGAAGCAAGACACUAAAUUCAUACUAUGAAUAAAAAAUAAUUGAAUCUCAUAUUUGUUCUUAUACUUCUGAAUAAUUUAACUGGAAGGCUGUAUACCAUUUUUAACACUUAUAACUGAAUCUAUAGUUAAGUUAAAUGUCCACUGUUGAUGAUACUAGAGCUUCAUUCUGAGUUGGGAAAACUAAAGUAGGAGUUGAAUUGAAUAGCUUCUCUAAUUACUAUCAAAGUUCUAGUUUAUUUUUUUCUUCUUUAGAAUAGAUUGAUGUAUUUUAAUAAAAGAGUCUGAAAAAAACAGUGUGUCAAUAUUGUUUCUUGCUAGUAACACUAGUUUAGGACGUUGGUAUUAUAUUUGUUGUUGAAAAUAAUUUAUCUUCCUUGUGUCACAUCAUUAUUUUUUAUUAAUAUUGUUCUACUAAGCAGUUUCUACGACUAUAACUUAUGUUUGUUUUUGUAAGAUUACUACCUUAUUGUUGGAUCUAAAACAAUAAAAUGACUUGUACUCAAGAUUAGCACUAUACAGGUGACCAUCUACCCUAUUCGACUAUAUUUGUAUGUGUUGGCUUCUAUUACCAUGUUCUUUGUUCUCAUUCCGGCUGCUAUUAAUGCUUUUGGUUGUACAUCAUAUUCGUUCUUACUCUCUUUAAGCUACCCUCUCUUUCGAAGUUUCUAAUAAUGAAAACUUUUUUAGAAAACUAUUUUUCUAUCUCAGUUGUUUUUUACUUGUAUGGUAUACAUGUAAGAGUCCAUAUACAUCACAUCUCUAUAUUCUCUUAAUAAGGGUCUACACAUCGUAUAGCAAAAACUUAAAAUGUUUCGUAGGUAGAUAAUAUUCGAUUGACAAGUGUAAUCAUGACUCGAGAGAAAUUCUCCUGCAAUUUGUUUACACAACUCUAUUUAGACUGGAAUGUUAGGAACUGAACAGAGCAAAGAAACCUUAACAUUGCCGUUUUAGCUUUCUUACAAAAUUUCUAAUUCUUAUGACUAAUCUGCCCAAUUCAUAAACCUCAACUUUUGUGUUGCUGAAUCCAAUAACUAAGCAUAAAUAUAGCAAAAACAAUAUCUUAGCAAACUACUUUUUUCCAGAAUUUCUAGUUUUCAAUAAAGUUUCUUCAUUCUUGCAAGCUAGUUAAUGAAAGUCAACACAUUUGUUGUUGAAUAUGUAUUAAGUUUGGCUCUGUAGUUUAGUCGUGCAUCUUAGAAAAUUAUUAUGUUUCAUGAUUGGACUUAGAGAUUUAGUCCAGUAUUAUGAGAAAAUUUUUUCAUAUAGUGCACAAUUGGUACAAUUUGUAACUCGAGUGUAAGUGCUUGAUCAAAUAGGCCUAAAUUUGAGUUUAUUUUAACAAAACCAUGUUAAAUUUAAUUUAUGUUUUUUAGUGUUUAAGGACUAGUUGAUUAUGUUUUUUUUUCUCAAUUUCUAUAAUGUGUCUAGGUUGUAUAUAAUGUUAAAUGUUAACUUCUACUUAACAUUAUUUGGUUGACAUUCUAAUUUAGUAUUGAAUAUACUUGGGCAGCCUUCUUUCAGUUGUUUCAAAUUUUGAAGAUGGAUAUAUUUGAGACUCCAAUGCUCGAGUUACUAUUAGACAUAAUUCAUCAUUUAACUAAUUUUCUAGAAGUUCAUCUUUAUAGUUUUUGUAUUGUUUAAAUUGUGUAUAUUGCAGGUGAUGAAGACAUGAGUUCAGAAGUCAAGCAAUAAAUUUUGAAGUCAUAAAGCAAGCUAUUAAGUUCGUGAUCAUUUUUCAAUGACUAAUAGAUUAAAAUUUGUAUUUUUCAUUAUGGUUGUACAUACUUUUGGUAAGAGGUUGUGUAAACAAUAUAGUGAUUUUUAUCUUAGUCGUCUAGUGUCACCAAUAAGAUGUUAUCCAUAUUUUAUACAUAAUUAAUUAUAUGUAUUAAACCAUGAUAUUAUUGAAUAUAUUAUUUUUGGAAUCC
Non-coding RNA from Solanum lycopersicum (tomato), 2859 nucleotides. Lineage: Eukaryota; Viridiplantae; Streptophyta; Magnoliopsida; Solanales; Solanaceae. The record is from RefSeq and is a predicted model, not a curated record.